AUAAUGUGCAUGGGUUACAUAUGUCCGCUAGAAAGUUAUCUGUAAGCUAACCCAUGUCGGAAAGUCAACUUUCGGACGUCGAAUAUCUUUAAGAUGCUUUUUUGGUGGACAUAUGUAACACAUUCGGAUGACUUUUUCGUAACAUCGAAAAGAUUGCUACCUGGGCGUUUGCAGUUGACGAUCUCUGGUACUUGACCCCCGUGUGAUGUGUAAAUUCAACCAAGGAAGAAAAUCAAGUCGCGCGUACAUUCUUCGACUGUCUGUUGGAAGUACGUAACAGUUGCAAGGUAAG
Cephus cinctus (wheat stem sawfly) is the source of this 292-nucleotide long non-coding RNA. RefSeq lists it as uncharacterized. NCBI's taxonomy places the organism in Eukaryota, Metazoa, Arthropoda, Insecta, Hymenoptera, Cephidae. The record is from RefSeq and is a predicted model, not a curated record. The transcript is spliced from 3 exons.